GAUCCUGGCUCAGGAUGAACGCUGGCGGCGUGCUUAAUACAUGCAAGUCGAACGAAGCACCUUGGACAGAAUCCUUCGGGAGGAAGACCAUUGUGACUGAGUGGCGGACGGGUGAGUAACGCGUGGGCAACCUGCCUUGUACAGGGGGAUAACAGUUGGAAACGACUGCUAAUACCGCAUAAACGCACAGUACCGCAUGGUACGGUGUGAAAAACUCCGGUGGUACAAGAUGGACCCGCGUCUGAUUAG
Molecule: ribosomal RNA, 249 nt
Filed under: uncultured bacterium
Lineage: Bacteria
Description: partial 16S ribosomal RNA
Rfam family: Bacterial small subunit ribosomal RNA
Source: RNAcentral